This is a long non-coding RNA of Leopardus geoffroyi (Geoffroy's cat), 1265 nucleotides long. RefSeq lists it as uncharacterized. NCBI's taxonomy places the organism in Eukaryota, Metazoa, Chordata, Mammalia, Carnivora, Felidae. The record is from RefSeq and is a predicted model, not a curated record. The transcript has 3 exons.
ACCAGGGUGGAUGCCUCACAAAAAUACUGGCAUACAUCAUGACCAGCGCAGUUGGCCCUGAGUAAACUCCUCCCUGGAAGGCAUUUGCAGUCAGGCUGCUCUGGCUGAAAGUAACAUGAGCUGAGCUCAAACAUUUUAAAAAAUUUUUCUUAGUAACAUUAUUUGAACAAAAUAAAAACCUGUCCCAGCAGUUCUCUCUACCAGGCACUUGGCAGACGUCCCACAAGGUUCUCAGAAACUUGGGCCGGGCCCCAGCUCAUCCCAAGGAAUCUUUGGGCUCAGCUGCCUGUCUUAGGGAAUGCUUGCCUUGCCAUCAUGUGAAUUCAGGACAAAAACUGUUGGGAUUUAGAACAGCCUGGGUUCCAAUCUGCUGGGCUUACGAAAAAGAAAAAGCUGGGGAGAAGACAGAGGAAUGCUUUGGCUCAUGCAACAGAAAAGUCUGGAGGCAACCGGUGCAGGAUUUGUUGUCUUGCCGCUUUGAAGAAUGAAGAGGUGGAUACAAAAUGAGCAGCAGGCAAAAGUUUAUUAGAGUAUAAGAUCAGAAAGGAAGAAGAGUAGGAAAGGUCCCUUUACAGAGAAUAUUGGAAAGUGAAUGCCAGAGGACUACAGGAGCUUGAGCUUCUUGGAACCAUCCUUGAGCUUCUCAGGAACCUGUGCCUGGGAAAAGGAUCAUAUGAUACUGCACUCUGGGGACCACUUCUCAGGAUGGGGGCAGAUGAGAGACUGGUAGGAUGAGAAACUGAAACUGGGUUGGGUACUGCAAGAGUCCUAGCCCAUAUUCUUUCCCAUUCAUCUGUGAAGUAUGUUUGGCCAAGAGAAAUCAGCACCUGGAAGAUGAAGCAACAUCAGGCCAGGGUACCUUACAGUAUACUCUUCAAGAAGGCAUCUCAAUUUAGAGGCUUUGUGCCAGCUGCAAAUCCUAUAGGGAAUACCCAAGCACAACUUUUCCAUUGAGAGGUGAGAAUGGCCACGCCACCUCUCACUGGGAAUGUGUCUGGUUCAGCUUCCUAGUACCUCAAGAUCCAUUCCCCGGAUGCUAAGGACUGUGGGAAUGGAGAGGAUUUCAUAAAAAAGAAACUCCAAAGGAAAAGUUACAUUGAAAUGCUGUGUGUCUGACACAGAGCCAGGCACAUAGUGAGCCCUUGACUAAUAUGUAUUUAAUCAACUGAAAAUACCCCCUGGUGGAGAAAGAAAUAGAAAGGAAGAGAGAGAGAGAGAGAGAGAGAGAGAGAGAGAGAGAGAGAGAAAGAGAGAGAGAAAUAGAG